AAUUUAGGCCGGCUCUUGAGGAGAAAAUUGCAAUAAUAAUCAGUGAUUGCAACACGUUUUAGAAAAACGUAAGAUUGAAAAAUAGAUUUACUGUGUUCACCAACAGAUUCACUGAAAACUAAGAGACAGUCCUGGAGUGUGGUCUAGCGAAGAAGAUGAUUCACCUGCAGAUAAUUUAGAAUGUUCCGUGGUUUUUGCUCUGAUGGAGUGUGAAGAGAUGAGAUGGGGAGCAUUAACUAUUGGAAGGAUCCAUUUUAAGGACAUAUUAUAUCAGGAUCUAGAUAGAUAUCAGAGCAUCUUGGGAGAUUUAGGAAACAGGUGCAGAAACAGGGUUUCUCCUGUUGUGGCCUCAGAGCUGUUGGUUUUCUUCUGCCUCGUCCACUUCUCCAGGCAGAAGUACAUCAGCGGUUGAUUUCCCCAGAGCAAGAAAAGAAGCAGUAAAAGAUUUGAAGGGAUACGUGGUAGUGAUGCAGGGAAACGUGCCUCGAAGCUGCAGAACUGUGGGCUGGUGGGGACACCGCUUCAUGACCAGUCACCAGUAAGAAAGGAGAAACAUGUUCGUGUAAAACAAAGUGCUUGCUCCACGGGUUAACCCUGGCAGCCUCUGGUGAAACUCCUUUAUUUAAAUAACCUUCCCUAAGCACCUGGUGCCUCUGUUGCUACAGGAAUCACUAGAAACUCCAUAGGAUGUAGGAAAACAUGACCUCCUUGAAAUUAGAGCAAAUGGUCACAAGGAGUCAUCUGGACGAGAAGAAAUGAUGGGUGCCUAAUAUGCCCUCUGAGACAAGUGGAAGUUGGAGGCACCAGACCCAGGCAGAGGUUCCAGGAUGCCAGGUCACAUUCAAGGUCUGGGAGGAGUAGUACCAGCUACAGAGCGUGAGGUCAGAGUGAUCCAACUAGAGCUCAGCAAACAACUCAAAUGGUGAGAGCAGAAGCCAGUGAGCGCACAGAACAGCCUCCCCGCUGGCUGCAGACAUCCCUUGGCACAUGGAGAGGCUGAAGAAAAUCAGUCAUUUCAAUGUCCGGUGAGUGAAGAUGUUGUGAGUGCAUCUAAUGAACUUCAUAAAAUUAUCGCGGGGAUGAAAGAGCAAGUUGAUGUUGAAGGCUUGUCCAAUGGCUUAUCCUCGGUAGAAGUUGAUUUCCUUCCUUUCCUUCAGAGGCCCCCAGAGCACAGUGCCUUGCAGAAUGACAAGACCUAUGCUGGGAAGUCAACUCAGUAAUUAGAUACUCAAGACCGUGGUUUGAAAUUUCACUGCCUGGGCGCCUGAGAGAGUCAGUUAA
This is a long non-coding RNA of Felis catus (domestic cat), 1281 nucleotides long. RefSeq lists it as uncharacterized. The transcript has 6 exons. The record is from RefSeq and is a predicted model, not a curated record. NCBI's taxonomy places the organism in Eukaryota, Metazoa, Chordata, Mammalia, Carnivora, Felidae.